This 465-nucleotide ribosomal RNA is filed under the name uncultured Vibrio sp. Its description in RNAcentral is "bacterial SSU rRNA". It matches the Rfam family "Bacterial small subunit ribosomal RNA", at positions 338 to 795 of the family's 1533-position model. The record is from RNAcentral. Lineage: Bacteria; Pseudomonadati; Pseudomonadota; Gammaproteobacteria; Vibrionales; Vibrionaceae.
CCUACGGGUGGCAGCAGUGGGGAAUAUUGCACAAUGGGCGCAAGCCUGAUGCAGCCAUGCCGCGUGUGUGAAGAAGGCCUUCGGGUUGUAAAGCACUUUCAGUCGUGAGGAAGGCGGCGUCGUUAAUAGCGGCGUUGUUUGACGUUAGCGACAGAAGAAGCACCGGCUAACUCCGUGCCAGCAGCCGCGGUAAUACGGAGGGUGCGAGCGUUAAUCGGAAUUACUGGGCGUAAAGCGCAUGCAGGUGGUUUGUUAAGUCAGAUGUGAAAGCCCGGGGCUCAACCUCGGAAUAUCAUUUGAAACUGGCAAACUAGAGUCUUGUAGAGGGGAGUAGAAUUCCAGGUGUAGCGGUGAAAUGCGUAGAGAUCUGGAGGAACACCAGUGGCGAAGGCGACCCCCUGGAAAAAGACUGACGCUCAGAUGCGAAAGCGUGGGUAGCGAACAGGAUUAGAUACCCGUGUAGUC